UUAAAUUGUCAUAAUAUAUGUAAUUUUCAUUACGAAAAUGCCAUUCUUAUACCUAUUGUGAUAGAUGUUUCAAAAUGUGUCAUAAUAAAUCUUAGUUUUAUUACAGAAUUGCCACUGGUCCAUGUAUUAUGAUAGGUGGAUUUCACCUAUCAUAAUAGCCUGUCAUGGAAUUCCCUUUUUCCAGUAGUGAAAGUCCAGUAGUGAAAGUGCAAGUGACACUUUGAGCCCCUUGACACACUUUCACACUAAGAAGGGGAAACUAAGCUAUUACAAUGUUUGAUUGUGUACUUGAAAUUGCUUAAAAGCAUUUUUCCAAGCCACUUGAAGUUGCAAAUGGAAGAAAAGAAAGAAAAAAAAAACAAUUAAACCUCAAAGGUUCCGUCAUAGAAUACUGGAAAUGACUUGAAACUAUGCUUAAAAUUGUACAAAAGAGUAAGCUUUAAAAUCUGCAAUGUGGCUGGUCCAAAACUGUUUGAUAAGUUUGGUGCAAGGUUGAUGAAGUGCUGCUGAAUGCUGAAGCAAAAAAUGCAACUUUGAGUUCCACUUUUGAAGCUAGUUCAACACUUUCUCCACUUCCUAAUGCAGAUACCUCAAGAAUACGUCACAGCACCACUGCCAUACACAAAACCAGUGAAGAAAACAACAGCUGCUGCACCAGAAUUCAAAUUUCGCAGAACAGAUUUUGGAGCACAAUUUAGAAGCCAAACAAGUUGAAUUCAAGUGAUUUUAAGCUUUAAAUAAUAGGAGGGACACAAAAGGAACCUAGGAACAGAUUAAACAAGCAAGAAAAUUCAAAAACAAAGACCAAAAUCAUGUGUAGUGAAACUGUUUGAUAAUAACACAAACUGUUUGAUGAAAGUCCCCAAUGAGUUGCAGAUUUAGUGAUUUUCGGGUUUUGAGGUUCAAAACUGGAUUGCAUGCUUUUCAAUUGCUUUUUAUGAUUGGAUUAUACUUUUUUGAUCAUAUAAUUCCAUUUGGAAACAUGAAACUAGCUCUUGCCAACCCAAAAUUGAAAAUUAAAGAAUGCACAAAACCAAACAGCACUAAAAUGGCAAACUGCACCAGAAAAUGGCAUUUANUGAAACUAGCUCUUGCCAACCCAAAAUUGAAAAUUAAAGAAUGCACAAAACCAAACAGCACUAAAAUGGCAAACUGCACCAGAAAAUGGCAUUUAAAAUGGUGCUUUCAAACUGAAAAUUGAGUGGCAGUGUUUCAAAAGCUCAAAUGAUGGUUCAAGCAACUUUAUAUCAUCAAAUUGAAAGUGUUUAAGCACUAAGACAGCCAAGGAACACAAUGCAGCAGAAAAUCACAAGAUCACUUCCAAAUUUAGGCAAAAUUUGGUGGUUUAAUGGGUGAUUCUGCAUAAAAACGUUUAGAAACAUAAUUUGAUAUUUGGAGCAACUUUUUAUCAUCAAUUUGAAGGUGUUUAGACACUAAGACAGCAAAGAAUCACACUGAACUCGCAAAUCACUAGUUCACUUCCAAAAUAAGGCAAAAUUGAUGGUUUAGGAAGUGAUUUUGCAUAUGAGCUCAAAUUUGACCAAAUGAACAGUGCAUACAUGUUUGGAAUGGUAAAAUAAACUUGCACAAAUGUGUAAACUGCACUGAAAUGGACAGAUUCAACAAAACACCCCUGCUGUAGCCAAUUAUGCAGCACUUUUUACUCAAAAAUUGCACUAGAAUUCAAACAAACACUGGAAUCAAUCUGGAUAGCACAAAAAAAAUCUUAUGGAAGUCCUAAUUCACUAGAUCUAGCUGCAGAAUAUUAGCUAGGAGAUGUUUAANGACCNAGAACACAUGCAAGGAUAUCAAUCACAGUGAAAAGAUUGAUUAAAAACUCUGACAGCACUUGUUACAGGAUUUUUGAGCAACUCAACUAUGCUUUUUGCAUUCUAGUGACUAAUACAGGUUGCCACUACUUGGAACAUGUUUAUCAUCAUCAAAUAAACUUGUUCAAAGCUUUAGAUGCAAAAAAAUAUGGACAAAACAGAUUGCACGUGAUCAAACCAGAGAAGUCUUUUUAUGCAGAUUUUUGAAACCAAAUUUUGAUGAACUCAAUCANUCAUUUUGCAAUUCUGUGAUUCAUAUGAGUUGCUACACCUUUAGNAAUGCUUUUCAACGUUAAACAAACUUGCACAAAGGUUUAGAAAGCACAAAAUCUGGUCUGAAACAGAUUAUAGCACCUGCACCAGUUUUUGAAAUAUUAUGCAGAAUUUUGGAAAANAGAAUUAUGCUCUAGUGCGCUAGCUUGUCUCACCAAGGCUGGACCGUUGUCUCAUCACCUUAUUUGNUUGAUUCAAAGCUUUGCAAACACUCAGAACUCAUUCAAACACAUUAANCACAGCAGAAAUGAAUGUACUGGAACUGAAACAGAAUUGAAAACUGCAUCAAUGUGCACAUGACUUGACAAAACUGGAAAGUAAAAUUGAAGGCUGAAUUGAACUCAAACAAUGGAUGUUCACCGAUUAAAAUGAUCAACAAACACUUAAAGAAUGAAGGAAGUAAACGAACANCACAAAAAACACGAAUUACAGCAAGAAAAGAAGUGAAAAAAAUUAAAAACAACGUGACAAAAGUUGGACAGCACAUGACAGAAUUGAAAAAAAUGAGUGAAAACGUGACUUAUCUCUUGAAGACAAGAGUGGAUGACCUGGCUCUUGAUGUCAAGUGAUAGAGGCAGCUUCUAUCUUCAAGAAGAAACANCUUCUUUUGUAUUUCUGUUAUUUCAUACUAUAGCAAUACACUGUCUCACUUGGUCCUGAAUCACGCUGAUCAGGCCAAAUUCUAUAAUCCAACAAUUAUUUCCAUUUCCUUUUGUUGAUUUUAUUGCCGGUACUUAUCAUUAUAGUCCUUUUCAUAAUAGAUUAAAUAAUUAAACAAGGAAAAAUCAGUUUACAACAGUUAAAACAAUUAUUUAGUUUCUACAUUAUUGAAAUUAAUAAGUAUUGCAUUGAUAUACAUUAAAAUUAACAUCAAUAUAAUUUAAGNNNN
RNAcentral lists this long non-coding RNA (2991 nucleotides) under Vigna radiata. Its description in RNAcentral is "long non-coding RNA (VRAD_LNC017641)". The record is from RNAcentral. Lineage: Eukaryota; Viridiplantae; Streptophyta; Magnoliopsida; Fabales; Fabaceae.